Molecule: ribosomal RNA, 1468 nt
Filed under: Streptococcus sp.
Lineage: Bacteria; Bacillati; Bacillota; Bacilli; Lactobacillales; Streptococcaceae
Description: bacterial SSU rRNA
Rfam family: Bacterial small subunit ribosomal RNA
Source: RNAcentral
UUUUCCACCGGAGCUUGCUCCACCGGAAAAAGAGGAGUGGCGAACGGGUGAGUAACACGUGGGUAACCUGCCCAUCAGAAGGGGAUAACACUUGGAAACAGGUGCUAAUACCGUAUAACAAUCGAAACCGCAUGGUUUUGAUUUGAAAGGCGCUUUCGGGUGUCGCUGAUGGAUGGACCCGCGGUGCAUUAGCUAGUUGGUGAGGUAACGGCUCACCAAGGCCACGAUGCAUAGCCGACCUGAGAGGGUGAUCGGCCACAUUGGGACUGAGACACGGCCCAAACUCCUACGGGAGGCAGCAGUAGGGAAUCUUCGGCAAUGGACGAAAGUCUGACCGAGCAACGCCGCGUGAGUGAAGAAGGUUUUCGGAUCGUAAAACUCUGUUGUUAGAGAAGAACAAGGAUGAGAGUAACUGUUCAUCCCUUGACGGUAUCUAACCAGAAAGCCACGGCUAACUACGUGCCAGCAGCCGCGGUAAUACGUAGGUGGCAAGCGUUGUCCGGAUUUAUUGGGCGUAAAGCGAGCGCAGGCGGUUUCUUAAGUCUGAUGUGAAAGCCCCCGGCUCAACCGGGGAGGGUCAUUGGAAACUGGGAGACUUGAGUGCACAAGAGGAGAGUGGAAUUCCAUGUGUAUCGGUGAAAUGCGUAGAUAUAUGGAGGAGAACCAGUGGGGGAAGGCGGCGCUCUAUUUGCGUAGUAUACAUCGAGGAAACACCAGCGACAGAAGGGCGGCUCUCUGCUAAUAUACGUGACGUUGAGGAUGAAGGCGUGGGGAAGCAAACCAGGAUUAGAUACCCUGGUAGUCCACGCCGUAAACGAUGAGUGAUAAGUGUGGGAGGGUUUCCCGCCUUUCAGUGCUGCAGCUAACGCAUUAAGCACUCCGCUUGGGGAGUACGACCGCAAGGUUGAAACUCAAAGGAAUUGACGGGGGCCCGCACAAGCGGUGGAGCAUGUGGUUUAAUUCGAAGCAACGCGAAGAACCUUACCAGGUCUUGACAUCCUUUGACCACUCUAGAGAUAGAGCUCCCCCUUCGGGGGCAAAGUGACAGGUGGUGCAUGGUUGUCGUCAGCUCGUGUCGUGAGAUGUUGGGUUAAGUCCCGCAACGAGCGCAACCCUUAUUGUUAGUUGCCAUCAUUCAGUUGGGCACUCUAGCAAGACUGCCGGUGACAAACCGGAGGAAGGUGGGGAUGACGUCAAAUCAUCAUGCCCCUUAUGACCUGGGCUACACACGUGCUACAAUGGGAAGUACAACGAGUUGCGAAGUCGCGAGGCUAAGCUAAUCUCUUAAAGCUUCUCUCAGUUCGGAUUGCAGGCUGCAACUCGCCUGCAUGAAGCCGGAAUCGCUAGUAAUCGCGGAUCAGCACGCCGCGGUGAAUACGUUCCCGGGCCUUGUACACACCGCCCGUCACACCACGAGAGUUUGUAACACCCGAAGUCGGUGAGGUAACCUUUUUGGAGCCAGCCGCCU